This 253-nucleotide ribosomal RNA is filed under the name uncultured bacterium. RNAcentral's name for it is "partial 16S ribosomal RNA". It matches the Rfam family "Bacterial small subunit ribosomal RNA", at positions 524 to 776 of the family's 1533-position model. The record is from RNAcentral.
GACGAACCGAGCGAACGUUGUUCGGAAUAACUGGGCUUAAAGGGCGCGUAGGCGGGCCGCCAAGUUCGAGGUGAAAUCCUCCGGCUCAACCGGAGAACUGCCUCGAAUACUGGAGGCCUCGAGGCGGGUAGGGGCGUGCGGAACUGUGGGUGGAGCGGUGAAAUGCGUUGAUAUCUGGAGGAACACCUGCGGCGAAGGCGGGUUGCUGGGCUGACACUGACGCUGAUGCGCGAAAGCCAGGGGAGCGAACGGG